This is a long non-coding RNA of Etheostoma spectabile (orangethroat darter), 275 nucleotides long. RefSeq lists it as uncharacterized. NCBI's taxonomy places the organism in Eukaryota, Metazoa, Chordata, Actinopteri, Perciformes, Percidae. The transcript is spliced from 3 exons. The record is from RefSeq and is a predicted model, not a curated record.
ACAAAGUUCUCCCCGGCAAACGUCCGCAGGCGGCUCUGGGGCCGGAAGAACGCCGGCGGCUCGUUGACUGGAGACAGAGGAACAAAACUGCGGUUAAACGACAGGUCAGGGCAUGCUGGGAAAUUUAAAGCUCCGCUCCUUUGAUCUGCUAAUGGGGACAAACAGGAGCACAGCUGGAUGGCUACCACAACCAGGUGAAUUUGGAUGUGUCCGGGUCACAGAGGAGGCAGGGGCUGCUGGGGCUGGAGACUCCGUCUGCGAAACACAUCCCCUCG